RNAcentral lists this microRNA precursor (101 nucleotides) under Marmota monax (woodchuck). The record is from RNAcentral. Lineage: Eukaryota; Metazoa; Chordata; Mammalia; Rodentia; Sciuridae.
AGUGGGAUAGCUGGGUCACAUGGUAGUUCCAGUCCACAUUUUCUGAGGAAUCUAUACUGCUUCCCAGAGUGGUUGCACCAAUUUGAAGUCCCACUAGCAAU